UGGGGAAUUUUGGACAAUGGGGGCAACCCUGAUCCAGCAAUGCCGCGUGAGUGAAGAAGGCCUUCGGGUUGUAAAGCUCUUUUGUCAGGGAAGAAACGGUGCGAGCUAAUAUCUCGUGCUAAUGACGGUACCUGAAGAAUAAGCACCGGCUAACUACGUGCCAGCAGCCGCGGUAAUACGUAGGGUGCAAGCGUUAAUCGGAAUUACUGGGCGUAAAGCGUGCGCAGGCGAUUUUGUAAGACUGUCGUGAAAUCCCCGGGCUCAACCUGGGAAUGGCGAUGGUGACUGCAAGGCUAGAGUUUGGCAGAGGGGGGUAGAAUUCCACGUGUAGCAGUGAAAUGCGUAGAUAUGUGGAGGAACACCGAUGGCGAAGGCAGCCCCCUGGGUCAAAACUGACGCUCAUGCACGAAAGCGUGGGGAGCAAACAGGAUUAGAUACCCUGGCAGUCCACGCCCUAAACGAUGUCUACUAGUUGUCGGGUUUUAAUUAACUUGGUAACGCAGCUAACGCGUGAAGUAGACCGCCUGGGGAGUACGGUCGCAAGAUUA
RNAcentral lists this ribosomal RNA (548 nucleotides) under uncultured beta proteobacterium. Its description in RNAcentral is "bacterial SSU rRNA". It matches the Rfam family "Bacterial small subunit ribosomal RNA", at positions 355 to 896 of the family's 1533-position model. The record is from RNAcentral. Lineage: Bacteria; Pseudomonadati; Pseudomonadota; Betaproteobacteria.